CCAUUUCGGACGGAAUGGCAAUCCCCCAUUUUCGGAAAUGGGCCAUUCCUGACCCACCCCCCGGAAUCGGAAUGUCAUUCCCGCUCUUUCACGUAAAAAAAUCAAAAUGACAAAAAAACCCUCAAACCUCUCCCUACCCGAUUCCAACUUUCAGAACCGAAACUCCGGCGACUGUAACAACAAGUUUUUUCACUGCAAACCCGACCAGACCAUAGCAAGAGUCUCCAAAAUACCAAGCCCCAUCAGUAGGAAGGGAAAGAUGGCCAGAAAUUGCCUUCCAAUCCUGAAGAGGUUGAGGACCUACGACGUGAAUUUGCUGCAAAUCCACUGAUUGCAUUCUCUUACAAUGAACUAAAGAUAAUAACAAAGAAAUUUAGGCCAGAUCAUGUGUUGGGUGGAGGAGGAUUUGGAAGUGUUUAUAGAGGAUACGUUUCUGAGGAUUUAAGUAAGGGGCUUCAGCCCCUUCAAGUAGUAGUCAAGGUUCAUGAUGGGGGUAAUAGUUUUCAGGGCCACAGAGAAUGGAUGGUACUUUUGUCUUUGGAGAUUAUUUCUCUAUUUUUCUCUACUAUUAUUUGGAGAUUAUUUCUCUUUCAGUUCUGCUAGGAACUUGGCAGGUUUGUAGGCAGAGGUUAUAUUUCUAGGACAACUCUCUCAUCCAAGUUUGGUUAAACUCAUUGGAUACUAUUGUAAUUUCUGCAUUUU
Nelumbo nucifera (sacred lotus) is the source of this 702-nucleotide non-coding RNA. Lineage: Eukaryota; Viridiplantae; Streptophyta; Magnoliopsida; Proteales; Nelumbonaceae. The record is from RefSeq and is a predicted model, not a curated record.